UACGUAGGGGGCAAGCGUUGUCCGGAAUCAUUGGGCGUAAAGAGCGUGUAGGCGGCCAGGUAGGUCUGCUGUGAAAACUCGAGGCUCAACCUCGAGACGUCGGCGGAAACCAUCUGGCUAGAGUCCGGAAGAGGAGAGUGGAAUUCCUGGUGUAGCGGUGAAAUGCGUAGAUAUGCGGAGGAACACCGAUGGCGAAGGCAAUCCCCUGGACCUGUACUGACGCUCAUGCACGAAAGCGUGGGGAGCAAACAGG
Molecule: ribosomal RNA, 253 nt
Filed under: uncultured bacterium
Lineage: Bacteria
Description: partial 16S ribosomal RNA
Rfam family: Bacterial small subunit ribosomal RNA
Source: RNAcentral